GCGUCCCCGGAGCCCAUGAGCGCGCUGGCCUCCCGCGCCACCCCCGCCAUGCAGUCCUCCGGCUCCUUCAACUACGGCGCGCGCCCUAAGCAGUUCAUCGCCGCGCAGGAACCUCCGGCCCCUCUCGGGACACGGCACGCCUGCCUCCAGCCCCUGCUCGUCCAGCCUCCCGUUGCCCCUGUCCCCGACGCCCUGGCCGCUCGCUUGCGCGACCGCGCCGCCCCCUGGGGCUUGUACUCGCCGUCGCCUCCGCCGCCGCCUCCGCCGCCGCCGCCGCCGCCCCCGGUCUUCAGCCCUACGGCGGCCCUCCAGGUGCCCGACGUGUUCCCGCCGCCGCCGCCGCUCCCAAGCCCGGGCCCCGCCUCCCACGGCUUCUCGCCCGCCGCCCGCUUCGGCCACAGCCAGACCCCCGAGGCCUUCCUCAGCGCCCUGCUGACCUCGCAGCCGCCGCCGGCCGCCGUCAACGCCCUGGGGCUGCCCAAGGGCGUCACCCCCGCAGGGUUUCCGAAGAAGGCCAGUUAGGCCUGCUAGAAUAGCCUCUGAUGAGGAGAUUCAAGGCACAAAGGAUGCUGUUAUUCAAGACCUGGCACGAAAACUUCGCUUCAAGGAAGACCUCCUGAACAAUGGCCAGCCGAGGUUAAAAUAUGAAGAAAGAAUAGCUCCUCUACUGCUAGGUGCCGACAGUGCAACUGUCUUCAAUAUUCAGGAGCCAGAAGAGGAAACAGCUAAUCAGGAAUACAAAGUCUCCAGCUGUGAACAGAGACUCAUCAGUGAAAUAGAGUACAGGCUAGAAAGGUCUCCUGUGGAUGAAUCAGGUGACAAAGUUCAGUAUGGAGAUGUGCCUGUGGAAAAUGGAACGGCACCAUUCUUUGAGAUGAAGCUGAAACAUGAUAAGAUCUUUAAGGGAAUGCCGGUAACUGUCACAUGUAGAGUGGCUGGAAAUCCAAAGCCAAAGAUCUGUUGGUUUAAAGAUGGGAAGCAGAUCUCUCCAAAGAGUGAUAACUACACCAUUCAAAGAGAUCUCGAUGGGACCUGCUUCCUCCAUACCUCAGCCUCCGCUUUAGAUGAUGAUGGGAAUUACACAGUUAUGGCUUCAAACCCUCAGGGCUGCAUCAGUUGUACUGGACGGCUAAUGGUAUAGGCUGUCAACCAAAGAGGUCGAAGUCCCCGCUUUCCCUCAGGCCAUCCUCAUGUCAGAAGGCCUCGUUCUAGAUCAAGGGACAGUGGAGAUGAAAAUGAACCAAUUCAGGAGCGAUUCUUCAGACCUCACUUCUUUCAGGCUCCUGGAGGUUUGACUGUUCAAGAAGGAAAGCUCUGCAGAAUGGACUGCAAGGUCAGUGGGUUACCAAUCCCAGAUCUAAGCUGGCAACUAGAUGGGAAGCCCAUACGCCCUGACGGUGCUCACAAGAUGUUGGUGGGUGAGAACGGGGUGCACUCUCUGAUCAUAGAGCCAAUCAUGUCAUGCGAUGCCAGCAUCUACACAUGCAUAGCCACCAACUGUGCAGGACAGAACUCAUUCAGCCUGGAGUUUGUGGUUGCUGCUAAAGAAGCACAUAAACCCCCUGUGUUUAUUGAGAAGCUACAAAACACAGGUGUUGCUGAUGGGUACCCAGUGCAGCUGGAAUGUGGUGUAUUGGGAGUGCCACCACCUCAGAUAUUUUGGAAUCACUCACUCACAGCCCUGACGGAGUGAGCAUGCACCAGGACAACUAUGGCUACAUCUGCCUGCUCAUUCAGGGAACCACAAAAGAAGAUGCUGGGUGGUACACUAUGUCAGCCAGGAAUGAAGCAGGGAUUGUGUCCUGUACUGCCAGGCUGGACGUUUACACCCAGUGGCAUCAGCAGUCACAGAGCACCAAGCCAAAAAAAGUGCAGCCCUCAGCCAGUCGCUAUGCAGCACUUUCGGACCAGGGACUAGACAUCAAAGCAGCGUUCCAACCUGAAGCCAACCCAUCUCCCCUGACACUAAAUACUGCCUUGGUAGAAAGUGAGGACCUGUAAUCCAGCAUUCUUGUUAAAGCUGAAACACUGAAACAGCCAUUGCCUUGACCAGCAUAUUCCUUUGUCACAUUAUGUAAAAGGCAGAAACAUACCUUUGGCUAUAAAAAAAUUUAUAAAAAACACCAAAAUAAUAUUUUUCUUACUUGAUAUACCAAACUGAGAGUUUAAGUAGAUGAUGCUAAUAGAAAUAUACACAUUGCACAAAAAAUUCACAUUUACUGUCCAAUUAAAACUUUGGAAUUGCUGUGAUUAAAGUGACCUAAAAUGCCAAAAUACUAAAGGAAAUCAAUUGUUCACAGGUAAUCACAAGUUGUGUUAUCUACAAGUGCUUUAAACACAAGAUAUAGGUGCUGUGUAGCCUGACAGUGUGAAAUGUUUAAUGAGGCAGUUGUACCACAAACAAUACUACAAUGAUUCUGAAGUGCAGUGUAUUCAGACAGAUACAGCGAACUGACUGCAAUACAUAAGGAUGAAAAAAGAAGAAAUGACAAAGAAAUCCAAGUAAAUGCCUUGUCUUUUUGCCAAUGUUUUUAUAUUAAAUCAUAAGGAAGGAACUACUUGCCUUAAAUUUUAGUAAUAUCAAGAGUUUCUAAUAAGGUUAAUACCUUAGUUCUUAACAUUUUUUUCUUUAUGUAUAGUGUUUUCAUGCUACCUUGGUAGGAAACCAUAUUAAAAGGCUAUUUACAAACCAUAUUAAAAGGCUAACUUAAAUAUAAAUAAUAUAAAGUGCUUUGAAUAAAGCAGAAAUAUAUUACAGUUCAUUCCACAAAAAGCAACAAACCACCCAGAUGACCAAGGCAUAUAUAGUAUUUGGAGGAAUCAUGGGUUUGCAAGGAAAAGGGAAGAGAAUGAAGGAAAAUGCAACCAGCACAAUUAUAAUGUGUCCAUUUAGAUAAAAGUAGAAGGUGCAGGAGAGGUAGCAAAGGCCAGGCUUUUCUUUGGUUUUCUUGAAAAUUAAUCUUAAACACAGGUGAAAAAUACACCGCCAUUCACAAUUGGAGGAACCUAGGGCCAGCUGGAAGCAUGGAGCACACAUGCUGUGGAGAUUGUGGUGCCUGAAGUUCGGAUAGUAGUGGAAGAUUGUAGGUAUGCAAAGCAGGUUGAAAAUGGAUUGAGACUGCAAGGUAGCAUAAAUGAGAAACUGCCUGUAGGAUCUAGUCUACUUGAAGGAAGUGGAGAGACAAGGGGAGACAAAAACAGGUUUGUGCCAUAAGGCACUUUUUCAAAGGCACCAAGAUGUGGUGAGUGGAAUUAUUAGUUUACUUCCCUGCUGCCAUGAAACCUUACCUUGAGAAGGUACUGGAUUCCAAGGUUUGUAAAGGUAUCUCGGUAAAGACUGCUUUUUUAAUACACGUGAUUUUGCAUCAGCUAGACUGAGUUGAUUCUGACCAGACUUGAUGGUUUUAAGUUGGAACUGUUAAUUUUAAAAAGGAGGAAAAAUAAUUUAACCUAGUAGUAUAAAACAUGAGGCUUUAAUGGUACUUUGCUAUGAAAAGAAAACACUGUAUUCCUUACGUAAAACACAUAUAUCUUUCAUUAUUUAUAAUUGGCCUCUCUUAGCUCAGUUACUCAAUUCAUACGUAGUAUUUUAAAAAAUGAUUUUAUAUCUGUGUACCACCCC
Callithrix jacchus (white-tufted-ear marmoset) is the source of this 3622-nucleotide RNA transcript. It is a transcript of the gene named palladin pseudogene, with no coding region annotated. The record is from RefSeq and is a predicted model, not a curated record. Lineage: Eukaryota; Metazoa; Chordata; Mammalia; Primates; Cebidae.